UAUUGGACAAUGGGGGCAACCCUGAUCCAGCAAUGCCGCGUGUGUGAAGAAGGCCUUCGGGUUGUAAAGCACUUUAGGUUGUGCCAGAAGGUGUAUUGUUUAAGAGAUGAUACAUUUGACGGUAGCAGCAGAAUAAGCACCGGCUAACUCUGUGCCAGCAGCCGCGGUAAUACAGAGGGUGCAAGCGUUAAUCGGAUUGACUGGGCGUAAAGGGCGCGUAGGCGGUUAUACAAGAUAGAUGUGAAAUCCCUGGGCUUAACUUAGGAACGCCCUCUAAGACUGUAUAACUGGAGUAUUGUAGAGGGUAGUGGAAUUUCCGGUGUAGCGGUGAAAUGCGUAGAGAUCGGAAGGAACACCAGUGGCGAAGGGGGCUACCUGACUGAUACUGACGCUGAGGCGCGAGA
This 404-nucleotide ribosomal RNA is filed under the name uncultured bacterium. RNAcentral's name for it is "bacterial SSU rRNA". It matches the Rfam family "Bacterial small subunit ribosomal RNA", at positions 362 to 758 of the family's 1533-position model. The record is from RNAcentral.